UACGAGUGGGGCAAGUGUUAUUCAACAUAACUAGGUGUACGGGGUUCGUAGAUGGCUGGAUUAGUUUUCUGUGCAAAAGCUGCGUUAAGUAACGUUGACAGGAGCAGAUUAUACUAUGUGGCUUGAGUUAUACAGAGGUUUAUGGAAUUCUUAGAGUCGAAAUGAAAAAGCGUUAUUUUAAGAAGAACACCGGUAGGCGGAGGCGUUGAAUUAUUGUAUAACUGACGUUGAGGGACGAAGGCGUGGGGAGCAAAUAGG
Molecule: ribosomal RNA, 258 nt
Filed under: uncultured bacterium
Lineage: Bacteria
Description: partial 16S ribosomal RNA
Rfam family: Bacterial small subunit ribosomal RNA
Source: RNAcentral